UGGGGAAUUUUGGACAAUGGGCGCAAGCCUGAUCCAGCCAUGCCGCGUGCGGGAAGAAGGCCUUCGGGUUGUAAACCGCUUCUGUCAGGGAAGAAAUCUUCUGAGUUAAUACCUCGGGAGGAUGACGGUACCUGAAGAAUAAGCACCGGCUAACUACGUGCCAGCAGCCGCGGUAAUACGUAGGGUGCAAGCGUUAAUCGGAAUUACUGGGCGUAAAGCGUGCGCAGGCGGUUUUGUAAGACAGAGGUGAAAUCCCCGGGCUCAACCUGGGAACUGCCUUUGUGACUGCAAGGCUUGAGUGCGGCAGAGGGGGGAUGGAAUUCCGCGUGUAGCAGUGAAAUGCGUAGAUAUGCGGAGGAACACCGAUGGCGAAGGCAAUCCCCUGGGCCUGCAUUGACGCUCAUGCACGAAAGCGUGGGG
RNAcentral lists this ribosomal RNA (420 nucleotides) under uncultured bacterium. Its description in RNAcentral is "partial 16S ribosomal RNA". It matches the Rfam family "Bacterial small subunit ribosomal RNA", at positions 355 to 766 of the family's 1533-position model. The record is from RNAcentral.